CAUGGUUACCGUAGGUGAACCUGCGGAAGGAUCAUUG
RNAcentral lists this ribosomal RNA (37 nucleotides) under Eucalyptus georgei subsp. georgei. Its description in RNAcentral is "partial 18S ribosomal RNA". Lineage: Eukaryota; Viridiplantae; Streptophyta; Magnoliopsida; Myrtales; Myrtaceae. The record is from RNAcentral.